UACGUAGGGGGCAAGCGUUGUCCGGAUUUACUGGGCGUAAAGAGCGUGUAGGCGGCCAAGCAGGUCCGUUGUGAAAACUGGAGGCUUAACCUCCAGACGUCGACGGAAACCGCGUGGCUAGAGUCCGGAAGAGGAGAGUGGAAUUCCUGGUGUAGCGGUGAAAUGCGCAGAUAUCAGGAAGAACACCAAUGGCGAAGGCGGCAUUCUGGACCGAUAUUGACGCUGAGGAGCGAAAGCCAGGGGAGCAAACGGG
RNAcentral lists this ribosomal RNA (253 nucleotides) under uncultured bacterium. RNAcentral's name for it is "partial 16S ribosomal RNA". It matches the Rfam family "Bacterial small subunit ribosomal RNA", at positions 524 to 776 of the family's 1533-position model. The record is from RNAcentral.